Molecule: long non-coding RNA, 680 nt
Organism: Frieseomelitta varia
Lineage: Eukaryota; Metazoa; Arthropoda; Insecta; Hymenoptera; Apidae
Exons: 2
Source: RefSeq, a predicted model, not a curated record
AAAUAAUAUAAAUAAAAUUUUUCACUUGGAAAUCAAAAUGUUGAAUUUUAUUAAGAAACAGUAUCUACAAUUUUUGUAACUACUAAGGCACUUACCACCACGUCGACCGUACCACAGAUCAACGACAGGCAGAUCGUCUGAAAGAAAUCGGUAAGAUAUGUCGUUAACAUACGUUCCGAAUAUAUAUUCAAGUGUCAUUUAAAACAAUGAUACCAACAUGACAUUUAAAAUUCACCAGCAGAAGGAGUUAGCUGGUGUCUUGUGUUUUUCAAUCUUUCGCAUUCAACUUCAUAUAGAUUAAAAGGAUUAAAUUUGCAUAAAUAAAUUAUUGACAUUGAAAACAUUUUAUUCAGUCAGUAAGAAGCAUUCUACAUGAUGAUGAUGAUGAUGAUGUUGAUGAAGAUGAUGAUGAUAAUGAUGAUGAUCAUGAUAAUGAUAAUAUAAUAAUAAUAAUCAGAAUAAUCAUAAUUAUAAUAAUAAUAAUAUUAAUUUAUAAUAAUAAUUCAUUCAUAAUAACCAUUUGUAAUAUACAGGUAAUUCUCUCGCGCGCACACGCUCGCUCUCGUUCUCUCACGUACACUAAAUUGUCUUAAUACAUAAAUUAUAGAAAAUUCAUCAAUAAAUGAAAUAUUACAUUCUUCAGACUAUAAAUGUAGUCAAUAAAUCAUUUUAUACUCGUU